Molecule: ribosomal RNA, 229 nt
Filed under: uncultured bacterium
Lineage: Bacteria
Description: partial 16S ribosomal RNA
Rfam family: Bacterial small subunit ribosomal RNA
Source: RNAcentral
UGCGCAGGUGGGCUUGUAAGUCAGUGGUGACAUACUGCCGCUUAACGGUAGAACUGCCAUUGAUACUGCAAGUCUUGAAUAUGGUUGAGGUAGGCGGAAUGUGUCGUGUAGCGGUGAAAUGCAUAGAUAUGACACAGAACGCCGAUUGCGAAGGCAGCUUACUAAGCCAUUAUUGACGCUGAGGCACGAAAGCGUGGGGAGCGAACAGGAUUAGAUACCCUGGUAGUCC